UACAGAGGGUGCGAGCGUUAAUCGGAAUUACUGGGCGUAAAGGGUGCGUAGGUGGUUAAUUAAGUCAGAUGUGAAAGCCCUGGGCUCAACCUGGGAAUGGCAUUUGAAACUGGUUAGCUAGAGUAUGGUAGAGGGAAGUGGAAUUUCCGGUGUAGCGGUGAAAUGCGUAGAUAUCGGAAGGAACACCAGUGGCGAAGGCGACUUCCUGGACCAAAACUGACACUGAGGCACGACAGCGUGGGGAGCAAACAGG
This 253-nucleotide ribosomal RNA is filed under the name uncultured bacterium. RNAcentral's name for it is "partial 16S ribosomal RNA". It matches the Rfam family "Bacterial small subunit ribosomal RNA", at positions 524 to 776 of the family's 1533-position model. The record is from RNAcentral.